This 563-nucleotide ribosomal RNA is filed under the name uncultured bacterium. RNAcentral describes it as "bacterial SSU rRNA". It matches the Rfam family "Bacterial small subunit ribosomal RNA", at positions 273 to 828 of the family's 1533-position model. The record is from RNAcentral.
GCAAUGAUGCGUAGCCGAACUGAGAGGUUGAUCGGCCACAUUGGGACUGAGGCACGGCCCAAACUCCUACGGGAGGCAGCAGUAGGGAAUCUUCCACAAUGGGCGAAAGCCUGAUGGAGCAACGCCGCGUGGGUGAAGAAGGUCUUCGGAUCGUAAAACCCUGUUGUUAGAGAAGAAAGUGCGUGAGAGUAACUGUUCACGUUUCGACGGUAUCUAACCAGAAAGCCACGGCUAACUACGUGCCAGCAGCCGCGGUAAUACGUAGGUGGCAAGCGUUAUCCGGAUUUAUUGGGCGUAAAGGGAACGCAGGCGGUCUUUUAAGUCUGAUGUGAAAGCCUUCGGCUUAACCGGAGUAGUGCAUUGGAAACUGGGAGACUUGAGUGCAGAAGAGGAGAGUGGAACUCCAUGUGUAGCGGUGAAAUGCGUAGAUAUAUGGAAGAACACCAGUGGCGAAAGCGGCUCUCUGGUCUGUAACUGACGCUGAGGUUCGAAAGCGUGGGUAGCAAACAGGAUUAGAUACCCUGGUAGUCCACGCCGUAAACGAUGAAUGCUAAGUGUUGGAG